RNAcentral lists this ribosomal RNA (496 nucleotides) under uncultured bacterium. Its description in RNAcentral is "partial 16S ribosomal RNA". It matches the Rfam family "Bacterial small subunit ribosomal RNA", at positions 29 to 507 of the family's 1533-position model. The record is from RNAcentral.
AUGAACGCUGGCGGCGUGCCUAAUACAUGCAAGUCGAGCGAACGGACGAGAAGCUUGCUUUUCUGAUGUUAGCGGCGGACGGGUGGGUAACACGUGGAUAACCUACCUAUAAGACUGGGAUAACUUCGGGAAACCGGAGCUAAUACCGGAUAAUAUUUUGAACCGCAUGGUUCAAAAGUGAAAGACGGUCUUGCUGUCACUUAUAGAUGGAUCCGCGCUGCAUUAGCUAGUUGGUAAGGUAACGGCUUACCAAGGCAACGAUGCAUAGCCGACCUGAGAGGGUGAUCGGCCACACUGGAACUGAGACACGGUCCAGACUCCUACGGGAGGCAGCAGUAGGGAAUCUUCCGCAAAGGGCGAAAGCCUGACGGAGCAACGCCGCGUGAGUGAUGAAGGUCUUCGGAUCGUAAAACUCUGUUAUUAGGGAAGAACAUAUGUGUAAGUAACUGUGCACAUCUUGACGGUACCUAAUCAGAAAGCCACGGCUAACUACGUG